UGUUUCCCGUUUUGUAAGUCGCUUUGGAUAAAAGUGUCUGCUAAAUGACUACAU
Molecule: non-coding RNA, 54 nt
Organism: Larimichthys crocea (large yellow croaker)
Lineage: Eukaryota; Metazoa; Chordata; Actinopteri; Sciaenidae
Source: Rfam